Molecule: ribosomal RNA, 500 nt
Filed under: uncultured bacterium
Lineage: Bacteria
Description: bacterial SSU rRNA
Rfam family: Bacterial small subunit ribosomal RNA
Source: RNAcentral
GAUGAACGCUAGCGGGAGGCUUAACACAUGCAAGUCGAGGGGUAAAUGGUAGCAAUACUAUGAGACCGGCGGACGGGUGCGUAACGCGUAUGCAACAUACCUUGUGCAGGGGGAUAGCCCGUGGAAACGCGGAUUAAUAUUCCAUAGUCCAGCUAUAUCGCAUGGUAUAGUUGGUAAAGAUUUAUCGGCACAAGUUUGGCAUGCGUCUGAUUAGCUUGUUGGUAGGGUAACGGCCUACCAAGGCUACGAUCAGUAGGGGUUCUGAGAGGAUUAACCCCCACACUGGUACUGAGACACGGACCAGACUCCUACGGGAGGCAGCAGUGAGGAAUAUUGGUCAAUGGGCGGAAGCCUGAACCAGCCAUCCCGCGUGAAGGAAGACAGCCUUACGGGUUGUAAACUUCUUUUCUGUCAGAAGAAUAAGCUUGUCGAGACGAGUGAUGCCGGUAUGACAGGAAUAAGCAUCGGCUAACUCCGUGCCAGCAGCCGCGGUAAACUCG